Myotis myotis is the source of this 1763-nucleotide long non-coding RNA. RefSeq lists it as uncharacterized. NCBI's taxonomy places the organism in Eukaryota, Metazoa, Chordata, Mammalia, Chiroptera, Vespertilionidae. The transcript is spliced from 2 exons. The record is from RefSeq and is a predicted model, not a curated record.
CGGGUGGUAAGGAGCGAGGGGUCCUGGACUGCAAGAGGAUGCAGACCAGGCUGAGGGACCCCCCCACCCCCAGUGCACGAAUUUCGUGCACCGGUCCUCUAGUAUGUUAUAUGUUGCCUCAAAAAUCCAGAGUCCCAUCCAACAUUCUGCUUCUUUCUUUGUAGUGGGCAAUAAAGUUUCAACAAUUGCCUUUCACUUUAGAGGAGAUAUUCUAACAUGCCCCAGAUCACUGAAUAUUCCAAAAAGUUUAUUGACAUGACAUGCCUCUCCAUUUUUGUGAGAUUUAUUACCCUUCCCUUGACAUACAUAUGUUCUACUAAGAAUCUAAAGUGUUUGCAAUUUCCUGCUCAGUGGGCCCAAUUAUCAUAAGUCAUCAAUAUAAUGGACCAGCAUAAUGUUUUGAACUAUAGCAAGGUGACCUAUGUCCCUUUGGACUGUAGUAUGACAGAAAUCGGGAGACAAAGCCCUGAGGUCGUAGAAUGAAGAUGUACUGCUGUCCCAGAUACACAAAGGCAAACUAUUUCUGAUUAUCUUUACUUAGCGGAAUGGAAAAGAAAGCACUUGGGAUCAAGAUGUACAUCAGGCCCAAAGUUGCGUUGACGUGUUCCAGUAAAAAUGUCAUGUCUAGAACCACAGCUGCAAUUGACAUCCCACCUAUCUUCACAGUAAUCUAUGGUCAUUCUCCAAGGCCCACCUGGUUUUCCCACCAGCCAAGUAGCAUCACACCUGGAGGAUUCAUUCAUGACUCAAACCUUUAUUCUUGAAGAAUCACAACCCUUGGGUGUAUUUCCACCCAUGUAGGGGUGAAAAUCCUCCAUUUACUUUUACUACUGGACCCAGAGGAACAAGGAGACACAUCACAGGUGAUCCCACCCAACCUGGGCUCUCUCCAGAUUUCUCCCCAACUCUACUUUAUAGCAGCCUCCACUUCUUUUUCAUAGUCAAGGUCAACACCCCAGCCAAUACCACAAUCCGCCUGAUUACUUGUUUUCUCAGUGGCCAGUGACAGUCUCAGCUCCUAUUCAGGUAAGUCAUUUUUGCAUCUCUCGAGGGACCCAGUUCCCCACUGGGUGGUAAGGAUGUAAAAUUUCAAUCUCUGCCCCCACCCCCCACCACCACUCACUCUCAGGCUCACAUAUUUGACCCCAGGAGAACUAGCACCAUAUGUUGGUACUGGUUCAGCAUGCUCCACAAUCUGCAGACCAGCAGGUCCCACAAGGUGGUACCUCUCAGCUCACAUAGUAACCGAGCCUGCAGGAGGGUGUUCCGCCAUGCGUUAAGGCCACCUAGUCCUGGAUAAUGGGUACAAGGAAAGACCAGGGAACCCCAUGGGCACUGGCCUAUUAGCAUACAUCUUUGGCCUUCAUAGGAACAUGAGCUUCUUGGUGUUAGACAAUGCCUAACAGUGGCAUCAGUAGGUUUAUGAGUGGAGGUGCAGAGGGAGGCAGCGGGAGGAUGAGAAAGCAAAUCCAACUCUACAAUAGGAUCCAUUGCAGGUGGACAAAUGGCUGCCCCUCCAUGGAGGGAGUUUGUGAAAUCAGACUGUGAAGUCAGAAAAAAAAAAAAAAAUAUAUAUAUAUAUAUAUAUAUAUAUAUAUAUAUAUAUAUAUAUUCUGCCCCUGGGUUCCUGGCACAGAGCCCCUAAACCCUUUUUUCAUAAGUGAUAGGAGCAUCUUUUGUUCUAUUAAGAUGACUUUGGGUGGGCUAUUGGAUGGCUCCUGGAUGGGGACUGGUCACCAAAAAAAAAAAAAAAAAAAAAAAAA